Molecule: long non-coding RNA, 281 nt
Filed under: Salvia miltiorrhiza (redroot sage)
Lineage: Eukaryota; Viridiplantae; Streptophyta; Magnoliopsida; Lamiales; Lamiaceae
Description: long non-coding RNA (SMIL_LNC007168)
Source: RNAcentral
GUUGAGGAAGAGGACGUCGAGGUCGAGCGAGAAGACGGCCGGCGGGAGGAGGCCGUGGAGGAAGUUGAAGCGGAGGUCGAGGAAGGUGAGGUUGGUUGCGGUGAGGACCUGCGGCGGGAAGGGGCCGGUGAGGUUGUUGUUGCUGAGGUCGAGCUCGAAGAGGGAGUGGACGGUGUUGAUGCCGGGGGGGACGCCGCCGGAGAAGAAGUUGGAGUUGGCGUGGAAGACGAUGAUGUCGGUGAGGUCUUCGAGGAAGUUGUUGAGGGCGAGGGGGCAGUUAG